RNAcentral lists this ribosomal RNA (462 nucleotides) under uncultured bacterium. RNAcentral's name for it is "partial 16S ribosomal RNA". It matches the Rfam family "Bacterial small subunit ribosomal RNA", at positions 28 to 507 of the family's 1533-position model. The record is from RNAcentral.
GACGAACGCUGGCGGCGUGCUUAACACAUGCAAGUCGAACGGCGAAGCCCUUCGGGGUGGCUCAGUGGCGAACGGGUGAGUAACACGUGAGCAACCUGCCCCUGGCUCUGGGACAACCACUGGAAACGGUGGCUAAUACCGCAUACGACCCGCCUCGGCAUCGCGUGUGGGUGCAAAGGUUUUCGGCUGGGGAUGGGCUCGCGGCCGAUCAGCUCGUUGGUGGUGUGUAGGCUCACCAAGGCGCCGACGGGUAGCCGGCCUGAGAGGGUGUACGGCCACACUGGGACUGAGAGACGGCCCAGACUCCUACGGGAGGCAGCAGUGGGGAAUAUUGCACAAUGGGCGAAAGCCUGAUGCAGCGACGCCGCGUGAGGGAUGACGGCCUUCGGGUUGUAAACCUCUUUCAGCUCCGAAGAAGCGAAAGUGACGGUAGGAGCAGAAGAAGCACCGGCUAACUACGUG